Molecule: long non-coding RNA, 3399 nt
Organism: Bos taurus (domestic cattle)
Lineage: Eukaryota; Metazoa; Chordata; Mammalia; Artiodactyla; Bovidae
Source: Ensembl
CUACAGAUUUUAUUGUGGCUCAGUCACAUAGCCAUGGCUGACUGGUCAUGCGGUCAACCUUAGUCUCCAGAGGUCAAAUUCAUACCACAUGACCCAAGGACCCUUCCUAUAAAUCACACUGCUAGCAUAGGCUAUCUGGCUUGGCCAAAGGUCCCCAGGUUAAACAAAUCAAGGCAAGAUAUUCCUAGGUCUUAGAGGUUACCUCCCAGGAGCCAAGGGCAAAGGCCAAACCUCUUUGGGUGAAAGAUUAAUCGUUUAUUGUCCAUCCAGACCUUCUUGUUCCACUUGACAGAAUUUCUCUGCAACAUCCCUCCAAACUUACACCUCUCCUAAUCUAUUCCAUCCUCAAGAACAACACCAACCAUCAUCCAAGUGAUCAAGCCACUUGCACCCUAAUUCAAGCCACCAUCAGUUCUCACAUUGGGGGUUUCUGGCAAGUGCAGCUGGGUAGAUAGAUGAAGGUAGCUCAGACCGGGCGUUUGGGGGGCCCUGAGUGUGUUGCAGAGUGCUAGUACCGGCCCAGGAUGCUGCACCCUGGCCCUCCUUCCCCCAGAAGGACCCCGAACCUCCAGCCAGGGCUUACUCGGUUCGCCAAGGAAGCCUAGCUUCAGAGCCUGGACAAGAAGAUCUGCUCCCUGCCCAGUCCUGAGUCCCAGACGCACAACUCAGAAAGCAAAACUCAAGUUUCAGAAACUGCUGGGCCCCCAGAACAGAAGGGGAAGAAAGCACAUUAGAAAUCCCAGGUGCGGGUCCCUGUGGAGAAGCCUCAGGGCAGGAAGUCAGCGGCAGUGAAAGAGGAGGCGGAGGCCUUCAGCUCCACUGCGGGCCCUGCGGAUGGCCUGGCCUCAGCGCCCGACUCUUCAUUUGCGGUGGACGUCCUGUGACAGCGCCUGCAUGAGAAGAUAGGGGAGGCACGCAGCCAGGGCAACGCCAGGAAGCUGCUUCCCACCUCUUUGGGGAAAAGAUGCUGGAGGAAGCUGAGGCAGCAGGAGUGGGACCGGAAGUAGAGGGUGCGGAGGGAGCUGGGGAUGAAGGAGAAAGCCGCCAAGGUCUCCAAGAGGCCCCCUGAGCUGCCGGGCCAGCCGGGCUGCUCUUCACUGAGGUAGAGAUGAGUCAAUAAGAGGGGCAGGCCUGCAAGGCGCAGCGCAGGAAGGAGAGGAGGCAGAAGGUGAAGGGGCUGAUGGGCUGGAGCAGCUGCCAGACUGGGUCGCGGCCUAGGCCCGGGAACUUCAGGCCAAGAUGCAGGGACGAACCUGCUGUACAAGGCCAAGGGCGUGAAGAUCCUCAACGGCCAGCACCUGCAGCCGGAGGUCCAGGAGAAGCGGCGGGCGCAGCGCGGGUGCACGUGUGAGAAGCGCAGGGCCAGUGGCCCAGGUGGUGGGGAAGAUGCUGCUGCAGGACCGAUGGCGGCAGAACCUGCGCAAGAAGGCGGUCAAGGCCGAGGGGCGCCUGGAGAAGGGCCGCAUCCUGCACCCUGGUUCUGGAGACCGACCUGGCCUGAGGGCCCGGAUGCUCGACCCCAGGCAGGCCCUGGCUCUGGGUGGAGAGCGGACGCUGUCACACUCCGCUCAGCGACUUGUCCAGGGCUCAGGCCGCGUGGGCACAAGAGCCUUCAGAUCUGGGGAAGGGUUGAUCCACAUCUAGACCCCAGCCUCCUCUCAUGAGGCCAGAACGCUCCCUGAAAGUUGCAGGGUUGGGGACGAGGGAGCGGUAAGGAGGCGGUGAGCGCCAGGUAAGGAGGGGCGGGCUUCACUGACCCGCUCUGUAUCUCCCGAAUUCACAGGAGCAGAAGGGAAUGGCCUUUGGGACUGCUGUGUCAGCCCCAAACUCUUUUGAAAAGGACGAAAACCAGCGACUGAAGCCAGACCGAAGGUGGAAUUGAUGGUCUCGGCGACUGGAAGAAGGCGGGGCCAUCCUCAGGUUGCCUGGAAUUGAAUUAUUCUACGUUUAUUUAUAAGAUGAGUAAAGAUUAGAAUUUAAGAUAAGCAUGCACAUUUAAAAUCCUAAAAUAACCACAGAAGAUACAGUCUUACUAAACUAGGAGGAAGAAGUAUGGAGUGGGAUGGACAGUGUCAAUCUAGAAGGAGGUGGGAGAGAAAAACCUCCAGCUAAGCCAGAUGAAUGGAGGAUACACAGAGGCAGAGUUAAGUCCCAGCUCACAGCCAGCCAGGUGAAUUUUAUGGCACAAACAACAGAAAAUGACCAGCUAGAACCAGGCUGGAAAUGCAGAGGAUGACUUCGGAUCAUCGCAAUCUAUUAAGACUAUUAGUUAGGACCAAAGUCAUGCUAGAGGGAGCCGCAAGGAAGGAAGAUCAUUAGGAGCUGCCAUGAAAAAUAGGAAUGAUGUCAAAUGAGUUCAAUCAGACUGCCCAGAAAAAUCUUAUCAUCCAUUCACAAUCUACAGUAUUAGAGUUCUGUGUGCUCUUUUCUAAUGAUCAGUCUUCUACCUGUCAACUUAGAAAGGCCAGCAAAAUGCAGAGGCAAUCCUUCUUGUUCUGAUCGAUGGUAUUCCCACAAGAGUCUAAAGAUAAAAUGAGCCAUGAGUCCAGACUCGUAGGUACAUGAAAGUAACUAUUGGGAAGUUGUGCCCUGUGCUACCUUGGCCAAGGGCUACCUUUUCUCCAGGCUCUUGUGUAUUAAUUGUGAAAGGUUCGUGACAUUUCAGUAGAACUGAUAUAAUCAUUUGCAGAGAAAGAUGCCUGUCUUCAGAAUGGGUGUAUUUUAUUUUUAAUCUAAGUGAUAUGGGUUAGAAUUAUUAGUCUAUCCAAAAGAGACAUGACAAUAGCAUGGAUUAUCUUUAUCUACAAAGCUUUUCCCCACAUUUCAAAGUAGUUUCAUAUAUAAUAUCUCCUUGAUAUUCACCAAUCAUCCUAUGGAUGUGCCUCUCCCAGGGAGUUAUUACUUAAACAUUUAAGAUAAAGGAAUUGGACCCAGAGGCAUACAGGACCCAUCCAUAAGUAUAAGGCAGUAUGGGGCAGAUUUAGUCUCUAGAUUCCAAACCCCUACUAAAAGUUUACCUGGUUUCUGCCUAAAAUAUAAAUUUCCAGACAAGACAAAUGUGUAGUGCCAGGACCUAACUCACUGCACCAAAUAUUUCAAGUUCCCCACUGGUGGGUUUGCAUUUCUCUGCUCCUUGCAAUGAGGUGUGGCUAAGUGAUUUGCUUUGGCAGGUUGAAGUUUCAGCCCAGGGCAAGAGUAGAGACACUCUUUUCCUCUGCCAUUUAGGUGGUGGCUGUUCCACCAGCCUGGGUCCCAGAAUAAAGCCAAUGAGGAACAGAGCCCCUAGCUGACCCACAGUGGACCCGGGCAGGGGACAUAUCUUUGUUUUAUUGAGAUGCAUUGUUAUCACAGUACAACCUGACAUACCCUACCUGAUACAUUCCAUGCACAGGCUCACAU